UUGAUUUUUCAUUCGUUUUUAACGAUUGUUCAGACUCAAUUAGAAAUACAAGUUUUCAUUUGCUACCCGUGGGAUUACAGCCAGCAGUCCUGGUCAAGGAAGCCAGCCUGCCGCGGAAGCGAAAGGUCUUUUUCUGGUUCACAGAGGGUUUGCACUCUGGUUGGUUUCCCAAACCUGAGCUUUUUUUUUGGUAAUGAUCCUUCCGCAGGUUCACCUACGGAAA
Molecule: unclassified non-coding RNA, 223 nt
Filed under: uncultured fungus
Lineage: Eukaryota; Fungi
Description: sequence contains ITS1
Source: RNAcentral